GACGAACGCUGGCGGCGUGCUUAACACAUGCAAGUCGAACGGAAAGGCCCUGCUUGCAGGGUACUCGAGUGGCGAACGGGUGAGUAACACGUGGGUGAUCUGCCCUGCACUUCGGGAUAAGCCUGGGAAACUGGGUCUAAUACCGGAUAGGAGCCAUUUUUAGUGUGAUGGUUGGAAAGUUUUUUCGGUGUUGGAUGAGCUCGCGGCCUAUCAGCUUGUUGGUGGGGUAAUGGCCUACCAAGGCGGCGACGGGUAGCCGGCCUGAGAGGGUGGACGGCCACAUUGGGACUGAGAGACGGCCCAGACUCCGACGGGAGGCAGAAGUGGGGAAUAUUGCACAAGGGGCGCAGGCCUGAUGCAGAGACGCCGCGUGGGGGAUGACGGCCUUAGGGUUGUAAACUCCUUUCGCUAGGGACGAAGCUUUUUGUGACGGUACCUAGAUAAGAAGCACCGGCUAACUACGUG
RNAcentral lists this ribosomal RNA (465 nucleotides) under uncultured bacterium. Its description in RNAcentral is "partial 16S ribosomal RNA". It matches the Rfam family "Bacterial small subunit ribosomal RNA", at positions 28 to 507 of the family's 1533-position model. The record is from RNAcentral.